This 521-nucleotide long non-coding RNA is filed under the name Gossypium raimondii (Peruvian cotton). Its description in RNAcentral is "long non-coding RNA (GRAI_LNC004933)". Lineage: Eukaryota; Viridiplantae; Streptophyta; Magnoliopsida; Malvales; Malvaceae. The record is from RNAcentral.
GUUCCGACACCAUCGACAACGUUAAGGCCAAGAUUCAAGACAAGGAAGGCAUCCCACCUGACCAACAGCGUUUGAUCUUCGCUGGCAAACAAUUGGAAGAUGGGAGGACCUUGGCUGAUUAUAAUAUCCAAAAGGAAUCCACCCUUCACCUUGUUUUGAGGCUUCGUGGAGGGAUGCAGAUUUUUGUCAAGACUUUGACCGGCAAAACAAUCACCUUGGAGGUUGAAAGCUCCGAUACCAUUGACAAUGUUAAGGCAAAGAUUCAGGAUAAGGAAGGAAUCCCACCUGAUCAGCAAAGGCUCAUCUUUGCCGGCAAACAAUUGGAAGAUGGGAGGACUUUGGCUGAUUAUAACAUUCAGAAAGAGUCUACCCUUCACCUUGUUCUUCGUCUCCGUGGUGGCCACUGAUUAUUCUAACACAACCAUCUUGCCUUGGUUUCAAGUUUUAAAGUGCUCGUGUGUCUUUCUAACUUGGAUUUCUGGGUCUUGUCCCCUUUGUAAUACUUUUACUUCUCCUCUGGA